UUCCUUAUUCUUUAGGCACGGUGGAGAAUUUUCUCCCAAUGCACGAAGGCCAAGCGGAACACUUCCGCGUGAGGGAAGAAGGUAAGUCGGUAGUAAACUAAAUUUGUCUGGGACGCCAACAUAGACGGUACCUGAGGAGUAAGCCUCCGCCUAAUUCUUUGCCACCACCCGCGGUAUUAUGGAGGGGGCAAGCGUUUUCCGGAAUUUUUGGGGGUAAAGAGUCCGCAGGGGGCUCUUCAAGUCUGCGGUCAAAAACCGGGGUUUACCCCCGGAAAGCCAGUGGAAAUUGAAGGGCUAGAGUGUGGCAGGGGUAGAGGGAAUUCCCGGUGUAGCGGGGAAAUGUUUGGAGAUCUGGAAGAACACCGGUGGGGAGAGGGCUCUCCUGGCCCCCACUUGACACUCAGGGACGAAAGCUAGGGGAGCGAACGGGAUUAGAUACCCCGGUAUUCUUCCCCCUAAACGAUGGAUAUUAGGUGUGGCGGGUAUCGACCCCAUCCGUGCCGCAGCUAACGCUUAAGUAUCCCGCUGGGGAGUACGCCGCA
Molecule: ribosomal RNA, 542 nt
Filed under: uncultured bacterium
Lineage: Bacteria
Description: bacterial SSU rRNA
Rfam family: Bacterial small subunit ribosomal RNA
Source: RNAcentral